This 1037-nucleotide ribosomal RNA is filed under the name Broccoli stunt phytoplasma. RNAcentral describes it as "bacterial SSU rRNA". It matches the Rfam family "Bacterial small subunit ribosomal RNA", at positions 234 to 1279 of the family's 1533-position model. The record is from RNAcentral. Lineage: Bacteria; Bacillati; Mycoplasmatota; Mollicutes; Acholeplasmatales; Acholeplasmataceae.
CGACACAUUAGUUAUUUGGCAGGGUAAAGGCCUACCAAGACUAUGAUGUGUAGCUGGACUGAGAGGUUGAACAGCCACAUUGGGACUGAGACACGGCCCAAACUCCUACGGGAGGCAGCAGUAGGGAAUUUUCGGCAAUGGAGGAAACUCUGACCGAGCAACGCCGCGUGAACGAUGAAGUAUUUCGGUAUGUAAAGUUCUUUUAUUAAGGAAGAAAAAAGAGUGGAAAAACUCCCUUGACGGUACUUAAUGAAUAAGCCCCGGCUAAUUAUGUGCCAGCAGCCGCGGUAAUACAUAAGGGGCGAGCGUUAUCCGGAAUUAUUGGGCGUAAAGGGUGCGUAGGCGGUUUAAUAAGUCUAUAGUUUAAUUUCAGUGCUUAACGCUGUUAUGCUAUAGAAACUGUUUUACUAGAGUGAGAUAGAGGCAAGCGGAAUUCCAUGUGUAGCGGUAAAAUGCGUAAAUAUAUGGAGGAACACCAGAGGCGUAGGCGGCUUGCUGGGUCUUUUCUGACGCUGAGGCACGAAAGCGUGGGGAGCAAACAGGAUUAGAUACCCUGGUAGUCCACGCCGUAAACGAUGAGUACUAAGUGUCGGGUAAAACCGGUACUGAAGUUAACACAUUAAGUACUCCGCCUGAGUAGUACGUACGCAAGUAUGAAACUUAAAGGAAUUGACGGGACUCCGCACAAGCGGUGGAUCAUGUUGUUUAAUUCGAAGAUACACGAAAAACCUUACCAGGUCUUGACAUUUUCUUGCGAAGUUAUAGAAAUAUAAUGGAGGUUAUCAGGAAAACAGGUGGUGCAUGGUUGUCGUCAGCUCGUGUCGUGAGAUGUUAGGUUAAGUCCUAAAACGAGCGCAACCCUUGUCGUUAAUUGCCAGCAUGUAAUGAUGGGGACUUUAACGAGACUGCCAAUGAAAAAUUGGAGGAAGGUGGGGAUUACGUCAAAUCAUCAUGCCCCUUAUGAUCUGGGCUACAAACGUGAUACAAUGGUUGAUACAAAGAGUAGCUGAAACGCGAGUUCUUAGCCAAUCUCACAA